CCUGCCCAGGGAGGCUUUGCAGGUGUGGCUGCUGUAUGUGUGUUGGUAGGUGGCAGACAGGAGAGAGGUUAUUUCUACACUCAGUGUUCUGAUCUAUGACCAUUUGAAUGAUUAGUAGCCUAACCUU
Molecule: small nucleolar RNA, 127 nt
Organism: Apodemus sylvaticus (European woodmouse)
Lineage: Eukaryota; Metazoa; Chordata; Mammalia; Rodentia; Muridae
Product: small nucleolar RNA SNORA17
Exons: 1
Source: RefSeq, a predicted model, not a curated record